RNAcentral lists this ribosomal RNA (164 nucleotides) under Memecylon aff. natalense 2 RDS-2013. Its description in RNAcentral is "5.8S ribosomal RNA". It matches the Rfam family "5.8S ribosomal RNA". From Rfam's summary of the family: 5.8S ribosomal RNA (5.8S rRNA) is a component of the large subunit of the eukaryotic ribosome. Lineage: Eukaryota; Viridiplantae; Streptophyta; Magnoliopsida; Myrtales; Melastomataceae. The record is from RNAcentral.
UAAAAGGACUCUCGGCAACGGAUAUCUCGGUUCUUGCAUCGAUGAAGAACGUAGCGAAAUGCGAUACUUGGUGUGAAUUGCAGAAUCCCGUGAACCAUCGAGUCUUUGAACGCAAGUUGCGCCCAAAGCCAUUCGGUUGAGGGCACGCCUGCCUGGGUGUCGUG